GACGAACGCUGGCGGCGUGCCUAAUACAUGCAAGUCGAGCGAAGUUUUUCUGGUGCUUGCACCGGAAAAACUUAGCGGCGAACGGGUGAGUAACACGUAAAGAACCUGCCUCAUAGACUGGGACAACUAUUGGAAACGAUAGCUAAUACCGGAUAACAGCAUUAACUGCAUGGUUGAUGUUUGAAAGUUGGUUAUGCUAACACUAUGAGAUGGCUUUGCGGUGCAUUAGCUAGUUGGUGGGGUAAAAGCCUACCAAGGCGACGAUGCAUAGCCGACCUGAGAGGGUGAUCGGCCACACUGGGACUGAGAUACGGCCCAGACUCCUACGGGAGGCAGCAGUAGGGAAUCUUCCGCAAUGGGCGAAAGCCUGACGGAGCAACGCCGCGUGAGUGAAGAAGGAUUUCGGUUCGUAAAGCUCUGUUGUUAGGGAAGAAUGAUUGUGUAGUAACUAUACACAG
RNAcentral lists this ribosomal RNA (458 nucleotides) under Gemella haemolysans. RNAcentral describes it as "bacterial SSU rRNA". It matches the Rfam family "Bacterial small subunit ribosomal RNA", at positions 28 to 475 of the family's 1533-position model. Lineage: Bacteria; Bacillati; Bacillota; Bacilli; Caryophanales; Gemellaceae. The record is from RNAcentral.